This 75-nucleotide non-coding RNA is filed under the name uncultured Lachnospira sp. Lineage: Bacteria; Bacillati; Bacillota; Clostridia; Lachnospirales; Lachnospiraceae. The record is from RNAcentral.
CGUGAGUAACAGCGAAUGACGAGAAGUCAGCAGAGGUCAUAGUAGCAUUGUGGUUGCAAACACAAUGGGAAGGAC